CAAAUUUGCUCUUUCACGAGUGAACACACACGGAGCUGCUACAACAUGGACAACAUUCCACGUUCCAAGGUAAAAUGAGUCUCUCCUGGCUGAGCGGCUGGAACUCUUGGAAGUUGAAAUCAAACUGGUCAUCUGAGGCCAGCGGCGGGAGCUCGACCUGCUGGCGGAAAUGUCGUGCCCUGAUAGCCCGGCCUGCCAGACACUCCUGUGUGCAGUGUCCUUCUGUAAUAUAAUCCUGCAUGCCUGGCGGGAGCAUGUGAUAGAGACUGACCCACACUCCUGUCUCGAUGACCCCAGCAUCAUAACGCCUCAGGUUGGGGCUAAAGUACAGGCGCAGACCUGAGCUGUCCACUUUUCCUGUGUGGGCUUCUUCUGUCGGAAUUGGAAUUCUAAAUAAAAACAUUUCCAACAGAGUGAUCUGUGUCCUGCUCUUCCUGGAGCCUCUGCCUGAAUCAGUGGGACCCGGGGCCAAACAGUGGCUGAAUAAAUAUUAAACAUUCCGCUUCCACCUCUCCUUAUUUACCCAUGAUGAGCCAUUUUGGAGUCUAAAAGCUAAUGGAAAUGUUCUAAUAUUAAUCUAUUGGAGAAUAAAACCGUUUUCAAGCAAUAGCAGUGUCUGAUUCAUCUACCUGCAGUAAAACAGAUUCAGACCGUAGUCUCCAUACUUUAUGAUGGCACUGUUAUUAUACUGAUGAUUAUUGUGAAGCUGCAUGGUUGGACCAAUGGUUUGCAAAUGUUGCUAGUAAUAAUAAUUAUGUUCAUUGACAUUAGAUACUGAAUUAUUAUUGAUAAUGUUACUUAUAAAAUUGUUAUUUGAGUUAAAGGGGUCAUGUGACACGGCUAAAACAAAUAUAUCGUUUGUUUUAGAUGUAAUGCAAUGUGUAUAGAAGAUUUAAGGUUCAAAAACGCUGUAUUUUCCACAUACCGCGCAUGUUUGUACCUCCUCUUUACCCUGCCUCUCUGAAACGCGCAGAUUUUUUACAAAGCUCAUCGCUCUGAAAAGCAAGGUGUGCUAUGAUUGGCCAGUUAACCAGUGCGUAGUGAUUGGUCGAAUACUGCAAGCGUGUGACGGAAAUGUAACGCCUCUUACCAUAUUUCUAACAUCAGGUUCCAAAGCAAUUGUACUGACAGGUACGCCCACCUUACUUGCGUGUACAUUUGGGCAGUCUUAGUCAAAUCAUACCACGAACUUAUGUAGUGGUAUGGGUGAGUAUGCUGGGUGAGCAUUCGCUUUUAGAUAGAAUGCAUCUUUUGUUCCCACACUUUAAUUUUUGCAAUUUUACUUGUCCAAUACAUGCAUGGGCAACUUAUAACACACCAAAGACACAGAAAAACACGUAUUCGCGCCAUAUGACCCCUUUAAUGUCAAGUGCAUUAAAGAAACUAAAUUUCUGUCAUUGUUUAUGCUCAUGUUAUUCAAAACCUGUGGAACACAAAAGUUUACCAACAUUCUUCACAAUAUCUUCUUUUGUUUUAAAGGGACAGUUCGCUCAAAAAUAAAAUAAUGCCAUUAUUUACUCUUCCUCGAGUUGUUCCAAAUCUGU
Molecule: long non-coding RNA, 1544 nt
Organism: Triplophysa rosa
Lineage: Eukaryota; Metazoa; Chordata; Actinopteri; Cypriniformes; Nemacheilidae
Exons: 4
Source: RefSeq, a predicted model, not a curated record